GGUUAGAAAAUACCCAAUUCAUUAUUAACAAAUUUAUAUACCAUAUCAACCCUAACUUAUUCUAAACGAUUUCUCCUUCUCUAAAACGUAAACCCUAACCUCCAACUCGUGUAAACCUCUUUCCUAAUUGUGGAUUCAAGCAAGAACACAACCUAGGGAUUGGAACGUGAACUCGCGAUAUCCCCUUCAAUUCUUCAUCAGGCGAGAUAGUUCUUGUGUCAAUUCCACUUAAUUUUUCAAGAUAUACAAAACCUCUCUAUCAAUUUCUGUGCCAGAGGGCAUCCGAAUUAAAUUCUUGUAUUUUUACUUUUUUUAGUGUUCUUAAAUGUAGAAUUUUGGGGCUUUUGAUUUGAGAAUGUUGUUUGAUGAAAUUAAAAGUUGUUUACUGAUCUGAACCAUAUUAGAAUAGGUUUUGUAAUUUUUGAGAAUUUUUAGUCAUGUUUUAAAUAUAUUACAUAUUUUAAAUCAUGAUUUUUCCAAGAAAUAUAUUAAAUAUGGAUAUUUAGUAAUGAAUUUCAUAUUUAAUGAUAGUAUGUCUUGUAAUUACAAUGUUAACCUAAAUUAUGCAUUUUUCUUAAAAUUAUUUGCGAAGGUAUAUUAUCGGAAAAGCUUCUAACCGUCCAAGAGGUGAUGGUCAUUGAUCUCAUCCGGAUCUUUUGGGAUCUAGGAAACAAUGGUGAAACAAGAUGUACCUUGCAAAUGAUAGAAUUAACUAAAUAAUUAAUUUGCGUCGAAAUUAAUAAAUAUAUUUUCAUACAAAAGUCCCCAAAUUGUAGGAUUUAAUUUUGUAAACUCUUGAUGGUUGUUUUGUAUUUUGUUUAUGUUUCGAGGGUAAUCUUGUCAUUUGGAGUCUUCCCAUUUUUCGUGCGGUAUUUUGUGGAUCGAAGCUAUGCAAACACAUGUGCAGGUAAAAUGUUGUUACGCUUCAUCUCAGCAAUCAGAUAAUAGUAGCGUUCUAUCAACCGGUGAAAUGUCUCUCCUUUAACAACUGUGAAAAUAUCGAACUCCUUUCUUUAUCAAACCAACUUUACUCUUGUACAUGUCGACAUUUCCUCUGUACUUGUCGAAUAAUGCUAUCCAAAGUGAUUGAGUUGUUCCUUUGUGCCGAAGCAAAUGCAAGAUUCACUCUUAUAGCAUAUAUCAAAUAUUAACCAUA
This is a long non-coding RNA of Helianthus annuus (common sunflower), 1156 nucleotides long. RefSeq lists it as uncharacterized. The record is from RefSeq and is a predicted model, not a curated record. The transcript has 2 exons. NCBI's taxonomy places the organism in Eukaryota, Viridiplantae, Streptophyta, Magnoliopsida, Asterales, Asteraceae.